UUUCCGUAGGUAAGUUAUAUCGAAAACCACCCACCAUUACCCAGUGAAUUCAGUCACUAACAUCAAUCUCAGGUGAACCUGCGGAAGGAUCAUUACUGUGUAAUGCGCUGAGGUAUCCCCUCAGCUUGCACAUCCCCUGUGUAUCAUCUGGUUGCUUCGGCGGGUCACGAACUUCGUCGUCGCUUUUGGGCGGCGUGUACCCGCCGAUAGACUUUGAAACUCUGGUUUUCGAGAUGAUGUCCGAGCCAAAAUUGAAUCAACAAAACUUUCAACGAUGGAUCUCUUGGUUCCAGGAUCGAUGAAGAACGCAGC
This 312-nucleotide unclassified non-coding RNA is filed under the name uncultured fungus. Its description in RNAcentral is "sequence contains ITS1, 5.8S rRNA gene". The stretch from base 264 to 312 matches the Rfam family "5.8S ribosomal RNA", at positions 1 to 49 of the family's 154-position model. The record is from RNAcentral. Lineage: Eukaryota; Fungi.